RNAcentral lists this long non-coding RNA (361 nucleotides) under Monodelphis domestica (gray short-tailed opossum). Its description in RNAcentral is "lncRNA (ENSMODG00000045024.1)". Lineage: Eukaryota; Metazoa; Chordata; Mammalia; Didelphimorphia; Didelphidae. The record is from RNAcentral.
GGAAGAAAGUGAGGAGAAGAGAAAAUAGGGAAGACAGCUUGCCUCCAGACUGUUCAUGGAGAAAGAUCUGCCAGGACUGAGGGUACUCGAUACAAUAUACCUCAGAGUCUAAAGAAUUCUCCAGAAGAGGAGAAACAGCAGGACUGUCUACCCUCCUAUGAUAUCUAUGCAGUCCUUGAACCAGAGACGGAAGAUCCUGUGAAGAGGGGCCUGUCACAAAAUGUGUAGGCAAGGACUUACAGACCUCUUCUGAUGCUAUCUUCAGUCCUUCAAGAGGAGGCUUUAAAGUUCAGAGCAAGUCAAGUCAACCAUCUCUUUGCCAAGAUCUUUUCCAACUCCUCAUAUUACAGCUGAUAAAGAU